Molecule: ribosomal RNA, 2600 nt
Filed under: Escherichia coli
Lineage: Bacteria; Pseudomonadati; Pseudomonadota; Gammaproteobacteria; Enterobacterales; Enterobacteriaceae
Description: partial 23S ribosomal RNA
Rfam family: Bacterial large subunit ribosomal RNA
Source: RNAcentral
AGGGUGACAGCCCCGUACACAAAAAUGCACAUGCUGUGAGCUCGAUGAGUAGGGCGGGACACGUGGUAUCCUGUCUGAAUAUGGGGGGACCAUCCUCCAAGGCUAAAUACUCCUGACUGACCGAUAGUGAACCAGUACCGUGAGGGAAAGGCGAAAAGAACCCCGGCGAGGGGAGUGAAAAAGAACCUGAAACCGUGUACGUACAAGCAGUGGGAGCACAGAGCAAUCUGUGUGACUGCGUACCUUUUGUAUAAUGGGUCAGCGACUUAUAUUCUGUAGCAAGGUUAACCGAAUAGGGGAGCCGAAGGGAAACCGAGUCUUAACCGGGCGUUAAGUUGCAGGGUAUAGACCCGAAACCCGGUGAUCUAGCCAUGGGCAGGUUGAAGGUUGGGUAACACUAACUGGAGGACCGAACCGACUAAUGUUGAAAAAUUAGCGGAUGACUUGUGGCUGGGGGUGAAAGGCCAAUCAAACCGGGAGAUAGCUGGUUCUCCCCGAAAGCUAUUUAGGUAGCGCCUCGUGAAUUCAUCUCCGGGGGUAGAGCACUGUUUCGGCAAGGGGGUCAUCCCGACUUACCAACCCGAUGCAAACUGCGAAUACCGGAGAAUGUUAUCACGGGAGACACACGGCGGGUGCUAACGUCCGUCGUGAAGAGGGAAACAACCCAGACCGCCAGCUAAGGUCCCAAAGUCAUGGUUAAGUGGGAAACGAUGUGGGAAGGCCCAGACAGCCAGGAUGUUGGCUUAGAAGCAGCCAUCAUUUAAAGAAAGCGUAAUAGCUCACUGGUCGAGUCGGCCUGCGCGGAAGAUGUAACGGGGCUAAACCAUGCACCGAAGCUGCGGCAGCGACACUGUGUGUUGUUGGGUAGGGGAGCGUUCUGUAAGCCUGUGAAGGUGUGCUGUGAGGCAUGCUGGAGGUAUCAGAAGUGCGAAUGCUGACAUAAGUAACGAUAAAGCGGGUGAAAAGCCCGCUCGCCGGAAGACCAAGGGUUCCUGUCCAACGUUAAUCGGGGCAGGGUGAGUCGACCCCUAAGGCGAGGCCGAAAGGCGUAGUCGAUGGGAAACAGGUUAAUAUUCCUGUACUUGGUGUUACUGCGAAGGGGGGACGGAGAAGGCUAUGUUGGCCGGGCGACGGUUGUCCCGGUUUAAGCGUGUAGGCUGGUUUUCCAGGCAAAUCCGGAAAAUCAAGGCUGAGGCGUGAUGACGAGGCACUACGGUGCUGAAGCAACAAAUGCCCUGCUUCCAGGAAAAGCCUCUAAGCAUCAGGUAACAUCAAAUCGUACCCCAAACCGACACAGGUGGUCAGGUAGAGAAUACCAAGGCGCUUGAGAGAACUCGGGUGAAGGAACUAGGCAAAAUGGUGCCGUAACUUCGGGAGAAGGCACGCUGAUAUGUAGGUGAAGUCCCUCGCGGAUGGAGCUGAAAUCAGUCGAAGAUACCAGCUGGCUGCAACUGUUUAUUAAAAACACAGCACUGUGCAAACACGAAAGUGGACGUAUACGGUGUGACGCCUGCCCGGUGCCGGAAGGUUAAUUGAUGGGGUCAGCGCAAGCGAAGCUCUUGAUCGAAGCCCCGGUAAACGGCGGCCGUAACUAUAACGGUCCUAAGGUAGCGAAAUUCCUUGUCGGGUAAGUUCCGACCUGCACGAAUGGCGUAAUGAUGGCCAGGCUGUCUCCACCCGAGACUCAGUGAAAUUGAACUCGCUGUGAAGAUGCAGUGUACCCGCGGCAAGACGGAAAGACCCCGUGAACCUUUACUAUAGCUUGACACUGAACAUUGAGCCUUGAUGUGUAGGAUAGGUGGGAGGCUUUGAAGUGUGGACGCCAGUCUGCAUGGAGCCGACCUUGAAAUACCACCCUUUAAUGUUUGAUGUUCUAACGUGGACCCGUGAUCCGGGUUGCGGACAGUGUCUGGUGGGUAGUUUGACUGGGGCGGUCUCCUCCUAAAGAGUAACGGAGGAGCACGAAGGUUGGCUAAUCCUGGUCGGACAUCAGGAGGUUAGUGCAAUGGCAUAAGCCAGCUUGACUGCGAGCGUGACGGCGCGAGCAGGUGCGAAAGCAGGUCAUAGUGAUCCGGUGGUUCUGAAUGGAAGGGCCAUCGCUCAACGGAUAAAAGGUACUCCGGGGAUAACAGGCUGAUACCGCCCAAGAGUUCAUAUCGACGGCGGUGUUUGGCACCUCGAUGUCGGCUCAUCACAUCCUGGGGCUGAAGUAGGUCCCAAGGGUAUGGCUGUUCGCCAUUUAAAGUGGUACGCGAGCUGGGUUUAGAACGUCGUGAGACAGUUCGGUCCCUAUCUGCCGUGGGCGCUGGAGAACUGAGGGGGGCUGCUCCUAGUACGAGAGGACCGGAGUGGACGCAUCACUGGUGUUCGGGUUGUCAUGCCAAUGGCACUGCCCGGUAGCUAAAUGCGGAAGAGAUAAGUGCUGAAAGCAUCUAAGCACGAAACUUGCCCCGAGAUGAGUUCUCCCUGACCCUUUAAGGGUCCUGAAGGAACGUUGAAGACGACGACGUUGAUAGGCCGGGUGUGUAAGCGCAGCGAUGCGUUGAGCUAACCGGUACUAAUGAACCGUGAGGCUUAACCUUACAACGCCGAAGGUGUUU